Molecule: transfer RNA, 70 nt
Filed under: Atelopus elegans
Lineage: Eukaryota; Metazoa; Chordata; Amphibia; Anura; Bufonidae
Description: tRNA-Ala
Rfam family: tRNA
About the family: Transfer RNA (tRNA) molecules are approximately 80 nucleotides in length. Their secondary structure includes four short double-helical elements and three loops (D, anti-codon, and T loops). Further hydrogen bonds mediate the characteristic L-shaped molecular structure. tRNAs have two regions of fundamental functional importance: the anti-codon, which is responsible for specific mRNA codon recognition, and the 3' end, to which the tRNAs corresponding amino acid is attached (by aminoacyl-tRNA synthetases). tRNAs cope with the degeneracy of the genetic code in two manners: having more than one tRNA (with a specific anti-codon) for a particular amino acid; and 'wobble' base-pairing, i.e. permitting non-standard base-pairing at the 3rd anti-codon position.
Source: RNAcentral
AAAGAUUUUAGCUUAAUUAAAGUAUUUGAUUUGCGUUCAGAUGAUGUAGGUUAGUGGCCUGCAAGUCUUA